AAGCACUUCUUGGAACCUCUGCAUCGCCUGCCCCGUGGCCUCAGGGAUUGGGUGGCAGUGCCAGAGCGAAGCCAGCUUGUCCAGAUCUGUAGCUGUUUAGAGGCCACCUAGGUGUUUCCUUUGGCAGCAAGUGACAUUC
This 139-nucleotide small nucleolar RNA is filed under the name Vicugna pacos (alpaca). Lineage: Eukaryota; Metazoa; Chordata; Mammalia; Artiodactyla; Camelidae. The record is from RNAcentral.